This 329-nucleotide unclassified non-coding RNA is filed under the name soil metagenome. RNAcentral describes it as "partial contains 5.8S ribosomal RNA, internal transcribed spacer 2, and large subunit ribosomal RNA". The stretch from base 1 to 120 matches the Rfam family "5.8S ribosomal RNA", at positions 35 to 154 of the family's 154-position model. The record is from RNAcentral.
GAUGAAGAACGCAGCGAAAUGCGAUAAGUAAUGUGAAUUGCAGAAUUCAGUGAAUCAUCGAAUCUUUGAACGCACAUUGCGCCCCCUGGCAUUCCGGGGGGCAUGCCUGUCCGAGCGUCAUUACAACCCUCAAGCUCAGCUUGGUAUUGGGCCCCGCCGACCCGGCGGGCCCUAAAGUCAGUGGCGGUGCCGUCCGGCUCCGAGCGUAGUAAUUCUUCUCGCUCUGGAGGUCCGGUCGUGUGCUCGCCAGCAACCCCCAAUUUUUUUCAGGUUGACCUCGGAUCAGGUAGGGAUACCCGCUGAACUUAAGCAUAUCAAUAAGCGGAGGA